RNAcentral lists this ribosomal RNA (363 nucleotides) under uncultured Halomonas sp. RNAcentral's name for it is "bacterial SSU rRNA". It matches the Rfam family "Bacterial small subunit ribosomal RNA", at positions 109 to 472 of the family's 1533-position model. The record is from RNAcentral. Lineage: Bacteria; Pseudomonadati; Pseudomonadota; Gammaproteobacteria; Oceanospirillales; Halomonadaceae.
AGUAAUGCAUAGGAAUCUGCCCGGUAGUGGGGGAUAACCUGGGGAAACCCAGGCUAAUACCGCAUACGUCCUACGGGAGAAAGCAGGGGAUCUUCGGACCUUGCGCUAUCGGAUGAGCCUAUGUCGGAUUAGCUUGUUGGUGAGGUAAUGGCUCACCAAGGCGACGAUCCGUAGCUGGUCUGAGAGGAUGAUCAGCCACAUCGGGACUGAGACACGGCCCGAACUCCUACGGGAGGCAGCAGUGGGGAAUAUUGGACAAUGGGCGAAAGCCUGAUCCAGCCAUGCCGCGUGUGUGAAGAAGGCUUUCGGGUUGUAAAGCACUUUCAGUGAGGAAGAAGGCCUUGGGGCUAAUACCCCCGAGGA